Molecule: small nuclear RNA, 18 nt
Filed under: Arabidopsis thaliana (thale cress)
Lineage: Eukaryota; Viridiplantae; Streptophyta; Magnoliopsida; Brassicales; Brassicaceae
Description: snRNA_12753
Source: RNAcentral
CCACAACUCCGGCGAGAA